This 449-nucleotide ribosomal RNA is filed under the name uncultured bacterium. Its description in RNAcentral is "partial 16S ribosomal RNA". It matches the Rfam family "Bacterial small subunit ribosomal RNA", at positions 29 to 523 of the family's 1533-position model. The record is from RNAcentral.
AACGAACGCUGGCGGCAUGCCUAACACAUGCAAGUCGAACGAGAUCUUCGGGUCUAGUGGCGCACGGGUGCGUAACGCGUGGGAAUCUGCCCUUUGGUUCGGAAUAACAGUUGGAAACGACUGCUAAUACCGGAUGAUGACGAAAGUCCAAAGAUUUAUCGCCAGAGGAUGAGCCCGCGUAGGAUUAGCUAGUUGGUGUGGUAAAGGCGCGCCAAGGCGACGAUCCUUAGCUGUUCUGAGAGGAUGAUCAGCCACACUGGGACUGAGACACGUCCCAGCCUCCGACGGGGGUAAGCAGUGGGGAAUGUUGGACGAUGGGCGAAAGCCUGAUCCGGCAAGGCCGCGUGAGUGAUGAAGGCCUUAGGGUUGUAACGCUCUCUUGCCCGGGAUGAUAAAGACAGUACCGGGAGAGUAAGCGCCGGCUAACACCGUGCCAGAAGCCGCGUGAA